Molecule: long non-coding RNA, 338 nt
Organism: Mauremys reevesii (Reeves's turtle)
Lineage: Eukaryota; Metazoa; Chordata; Testudines; Geoemydidae
Exons: 3
Source: RefSeq, a predicted model, not a curated record
CCUUACUCUGAAGCUGAGCCCUAAUGGCAUCCAUUGGGAGCUUUGCCUUCAAAGAAGUCUCAUGUGAGAGUAAGGAAAGAUGCACACAUCUGUUUAAAAGGGAGCUGUCAGAUGGGAGAUCACUGGCCAGUUCCUACCAUUAUCUUCCAGAACAAGACGUGUUGCUUUUAUGAGGAGCUGCAUGUGAUUCUCGGUGGCAACCUCACCACUAUCCCAAAACAUGCCAUGGAUACCUCCCAGGGACCCUGGGUGACCUCGAGCAACAAUGAUGAGCACAUUGUUGAAGAGAAGCAGGAGGAGAGUGCAAGGCAGGCAAGCAGAGGAUCCAUUCUCCCCGA